Molecule: ribosomal RNA, 636 nt
Filed under: Barycistela sp. COL1074
Lineage: Eukaryota; Metazoa; Arthropoda; Insecta; Coleoptera; Tenebrionidae
Description: eukaryotic LSU rRNA
Rfam family: Eukaryotic large subunit ribosomal RNA
Source: RNAcentral
GGAGUCUAGCAUGUGCGCGAGUCAUUGGGACAUGACUAAACCUAAAGGCGCAAUGAAAGUGAAGGUCCGCCUUGCGCGGACCCAGGGAGGAUGGGCGGCCGUUGCGGCUGUCGCCCCGCACUCCCGGGGCGUCUCGUUCUCAUUGCGAGAAGAGGCGCACCAAGAGCGUACACGCUGGGACCCGAAAGAUGGUGAACUAUGCCUGGUCAGGACGAAGUCAGGGGAAACCCUGAUGGAGGUCCGUAGCGAUUCUGACGUGCAAAUCGAUCGUCGGAACUGGGUAUAGGGGCGAAAGACUAAUCGAACCAUCUAGUAGCUGGUUCCCUCCGAAGUUUCCCUCAGGAUAGCUGGCGCUCGUCGCGCACGAGUUUCAUCCGGUAAAGCGAAUGAUUAGAGGCAUUGGGGUCGAAACGGCCUCAACCUAUUCUCAAACUUUAAAUGGGUGAGAUCUCCGGCUUGCUCGAACUACUGAAGCCGCGAGACUCGAAUCAGAGUGCCAAGUGGGCCAUUUUUGGUAAGCAGAACUGGCGCUGUGGGAUGAACCAAACGCCGAGUUAAAGCGCCUAAAUCGACGCUUAUGGGAUACCAUGAAAGGCGUUGGUAACUUAAGACAUCAGGACGGUGGCCAUGGAAGUC